Molecule: ribosomal RNA, 440 nt
Filed under: uncultured bacterium
Lineage: Bacteria
Description: partial 16S ribosomal RNA
Rfam family: Bacterial small subunit ribosomal RNA
Source: RNAcentral
CCUACGGGAGGCAGCAGUGGGGAAUAUUGCACAAUGGGGGAAACCCUGAUGCAGCACCGCCGCGUGAGUGAUGACGGCCUUCGGUUGGUAAAGCUCUGUCUGCAGGGAAGAUAAUGACGUUACCUGAGGAGGAAGCCCCGGCUAACUAGGUGCCAGCAGCCGCGGUAAUACGUGGGGGGCGAGCGUUGUCCGGAUUUACUGGGCGUAAAGGGAGCGUAGGCGGACUUUUAAGUGAGAAGUGAAAUACUCGGGCUCAACUUGAGUGCUGCAUUUCAAACUGGAAGGCUAGAGUGCAGGAGAGGAGAAUGGAAUUCCUAGUGUAGCGGUGAAAUGCGUAGAGAUUAGGAAGAACACCAGUGGCGAAGGCGAUUCUCUGGACUGUAACUGACGCUGAGGCUCGAAAGCGUGGGGAGCAAACAGGAUUAGAUACCCUUGUAGUC